This 253-nucleotide ribosomal RNA is filed under the name uncultured bacterium. RNAcentral describes it as "partial 16S ribosomal RNA". It matches the Rfam family "Bacterial small subunit ribosomal RNA", at positions 524 to 776 of the family's 1533-position model. The record is from RNAcentral.
UACAGAGGGUGCGAGCGUUGUCCGGAAUCACUGGGCGUAAAGCGCACGUAGGCGGACUUGUCAGUCAGGGGUGAAAUCCCGGGGCUCAACCUCGGAACUGCCUCUGAUACAGCAAGUCUUGAGUCCGGAAGAGGUGGGUGGAAUUCCUAGUGUAGAGGUGAAAUUCGUAGAUAUUAGGAAGAACACCGGUGGCGAAGGCGGCCCACUGGUCCGGUACUGACGCUGAGGUGCGAAAGCGUGGGGAGCAAACAGG